This 566-nucleotide ribosomal RNA is filed under the name uncultured bacterium. RNAcentral describes it as "partial 16S ribosomal RNA". It matches the Rfam family "Bacterial small subunit ribosomal RNA", at positions 355 to 1375 of the family's 1533-position model. The record is from RNAcentral.
UGGGGAAUAUUGCACAAUGGGCGAAAGCCUGAUGCAGCAACGCCGCGUGAGUGAUGAAGGCCUUCGGGUUGUAAAGCUCUGUCUUUUGGGACGAUAAUGACGGUACCAAAGGAGGAAGCCACGGCUAACUACGUGCCAGCAGCCGCGGUAAUACGUAGGUGGCAAGCGUUGUCCGGAUUUACUGGGCGUAAAGGAUGCGUAGGCGGAUUUUUAAGUGAGAUGUGAAAACCCUAAGCUUAACUUGGGGACUGCAUUUCAUACUGGAAAUCUAGAGUGCGGGAGAGGAGAAUGGAAUUCCUAGUGUAGCGGUGAAAAUGCGUAGAGAUUAGGAAGAACACCAGUGGCGAAGGCGAUUCUCUGGACCGUAACUGACGCUGAGGCAUGAAAGCGUGGGUAGCAAAACAGGAUUAGAUACCCUGGUAGUCCACGCCGUAAAACGAUGAGUACUAGGUGUAGGAGGUAUCGACCCCUUCUGUGCCGCAGUUAACACAAUAAGUACUCCGCCUGGGAAGUACGAUCGCAAGAUUAAAAACUUAAAUGAAUUGACGGGGUCAUAGCUGUUUCCU